RNAcentral lists this long non-coding RNA (3019 nucleotides) under Homo sapiens (human). Its description in RNAcentral is "HSALNT0353245". Lineage: Eukaryota; Metazoa; Chordata; Mammalia; Primates; Hominidae. The record is from RNAcentral.
UGGGUAGAGUGUUCAAUGUCCAUUUAAUUAAAUCACCAAAUAUUACGGCCCCAGCCUGUGAGGUUAUUGAGACCCCAGUGAAUAGCAGCAACCUAUUGGCUGCAGGAAAAUGGUACAACUCAGGAGUUUAAUCUGUUCUAUUCCCACAAUGUGUGCUUAUAACAAGGAGAGGAAGGAAAGCAAGAGAUGUUCUACCGUAUCUUGAUGAAUAUUACCUAGGAAUUACUCCUUCAUUUUCGAUCAACAGUGUCCCUAAAACUUCAUUGAAAGCAUAGACAUUUUAGUCAAUGAGCCACCAGAAGGGCAACCUCACCAGACCCUUGGACCUGACUCAUUCAGCCUUUGAGUCUUUAUCAGUCCCAUGUCCUCACUUGGUGAUCUUCACUGGUGAAACUGGGUCGUAAUAUGCUUGAGAAAAUGAGUGUGUCCCUUCAUCAGGGAGAUCACCAAGAGGGGCACAGGGCCUGGUGUGGCCUUGGAAAGUCAGGUUGUUGUGUAAGUGGAACCUAUGGGAGCAGCCUUUUGAAAAGGAAAAGUUGCAACAAUGUUGUAACACGAGUGCAAUAUGUGAGACUUUUGCAUAAUGAACACUUCAGUGCCUUACAAAACAACACAAAACAAAAAAAGGGAGUUGUGCUUUAGUUGAAAGAACUUGGGUGUUGGAUUUAGUAGACCUGAGUUCAUCUCCCACUCCCCUGUUACUUAGCCCUCUGGGUGACCUGGGGCAAGACACUGCAUCUCCCUGUGCCUGAAUUUCCACACCUGUCAAGGGGCAAUAAUGGUGCUGUUUUUGUAUUGUGUGUGGAUUUAAUUACAAUUGUAGGAUGUCAGGCACAAAGCUCAGCACAAAAUAACAGCUCAAUAAAUAGUGUGUCUCUGUGGCUGGUGGCCCAUUUAGCUGUCUCAUUUAUUCUACUUAAUAUUUUUGGCUGGGCGCCAUGGCUCACGCCUGUAAUCCCGGUAUUUUGAGGUGCUGAGGCAGGUGGAUUACCUGAGGUCAAGAGUUCGAGACCAGCCUGGCCAACACGGUGAAACUCCAUCUCUACUAAAAAAAAAAUACAAAAAUUAACCAGGUGUGGUGGCGGUUGUCUAUAAUCCCAGCUUGGGAGGCUCACGCAGAAGAACCACUUGAACCCGAAAAGUGAAGUUUGCAGUGAGCCGAGAUUGCACCACUGCACCCCAGCCUGGGUGACAGAGGCAGACUUCAUCGCUAAAAAACAAACAAACAAACAAACAAACAAAUGUAGAAUUUUCCUGUCCCUCCCUAGAAACUUUCAGUGCUGAAAGGACCCUCGGAGGUCAUCAAGUCCCACUGUCUUUGUUAGAUGAAGAAAUUCAGUCCAAGGAGGUUACGUGACUUGCUCGAGGCCACUCAGCUUUCUGACCCUGCUCCUCGAACCCUCCAUCAGACCUUUUGGAUGUGUCUGCUCUGCGGGCACAUCCUUCUAGGCUGAGCAGUGCUGACUCUAAUUUCAGACUCGUUUCGUAGUCUGUUGACAAUUACGUUGUCCAUCAUGCCAUUUAGAGCUCUGACUUUAUAGCUUUGGGAAGCACCUUAAAAUAUAAUUGCAAACACUCUGCCCAUCCAAAUGUGUACUUCCCAUGCCUAAUAAUGAGGCUUUUAAGUGGUGGCACAGGAGAGCGGCAAGAUGAUAGCUCAUGCGAAAUGAGAAAUUGGAGCAAAUGGGAUUUGGUAAUGGACUUUGCAGUGACACGAGUUGUCUGAUAGCUGGUCUGUGGUUAUCUUGGUACAUUUUGUAUUUUGAAAGGCACAAAAUGUCAGGUCAUUGCUCAAAUACUGGUUAAGAUUUUGAUUAUUUUGCAGAAUUGUAGCAUAGUACCUCAGGAUUGACAUUUUGCCCUCAAAAUUUUAUGUUCAAUGUUCCUGUCCUUUGUUUAGAAGUUGCACUUUCUAUUGUUUGUAAGUCUAUCAAAAAAAAAAUAGAAAGUUUUUCUUUCCUGUUGCCUAAAUGAUUUGAUUGUUUAGUUCUUGGAGUAGAAACACCAGCUGCCCUUAGCCUGGGUGCAAGCCAGCAGAGAAGGGGAAAGGAAUGCAAGAGUGAGUAAGAUGUGGCCCUUAUCCUCAAGGAAUUCAGAGUCCCAUGGGGGAGAUAGGCCUGGUUUCUAUAAACAAUGAUGCAAGACAGAACAUGAUGUGCCAGGAGGGACAGAGUGCCAAGGUGGGGACAAAGGAAUGACGAGUCCCGAAAUAGACCUGUGGGAAAGGUGUUGUGAUGCUGGGAGGCUGGACUGGAUCUUAAAGAAGGCCAGUGUCCACAUCCUGCUCACAUUUGGGACAUCUGUGAGGCAGGGUGCCUCCUUUUUGUCCCUCCAAGAGGACAGUUGGGGGACUUGGCCUCUGGCCGCCUCAAGUUGGGUCAGCACCUGCUGGGCCUCAUCCUGGUUCAUCGUGCAUCAAUGGGAGCGCACCUGGGUUCUGCUGACAUGUGAGAGCUUCUUCACCGAGGGGUUCAGAAAAGUGUGCUCAUGGCCUGUAGAUCUGGAUUCAAAGGGAGAUGAGAAAAAUAGGAACUGAGCCCGUGGCUUGCCUCACCCACUUCCUGAGCCUGCGCAAGGGACAAGACUUUCCUGUGUGGCCUUCUUACGGCAGUCCACAGGGAAGUGGCCUCAUUUUCUGUGUCUGUCCUGCCCAGCGCCCCCACUCUCCUGUGCUGGUCCCAGGCCAUCCCUUAGCCAGAGUGCAGAACUCCAGACCCCCAAUAUUCUCUCAUAUCCUCAGAAUCUUCAGCUUCCAUCCAUGGAUGUUGGCUGAAUCCUGAGUGGGGUCGUAGAAAGAUCUGGUCCUGUGAGUAGGGGGGCGAGGAGGAAGGCAGGGACUUCAGCUGGGCUGUCUACAACCUGAGUCUAAAACACCUAAAGACAAGCACAACUUGCCCCCGCUAGGACGAAUUUCUUGCUCCAGACCGCCUCACUGCAUCUCUAGGGCCAUGUGUAUUCCUGCUAUUUGGCCACAUUCCUUGAGAAAAAUUGCCUAUUAAAAGAAUUUCCUUAUUCACCA